AUUUACUAAUACAAAGAUACGGGUUGGAUUUAUAAAUUACAUAGAAUCACCAACUUUCAAGUAUAAUGAGAUGGACGAAUUAUAAACAUUAUCAAACAAGUAAAAGCGAGUCGCUAACAAAGAGCAAUCAAAAUCCACUGUCACAAAUAGCAACAUGAAAGUGCAUAGUUUCAAAGCUUCGGAGUUUGUUCAAAAUUAUAAUAUUUUUAAUUCACAUACUAUUAUACUAAUAAAAGCUCGAACAUAUUUGUUGUCCCUACAGUCAAAUAUUUAAUUUCAUAUUCUUCUUAAAAUGCAUCAAAAUCCAUACAUUGUAAGUAUAAUGAAGAACAUAACUAUUAGUAUUAGAAUUUCUUAAGCAUUCAGCUGAUUCACUAAUAAUAAUAAUAAUAAAGCCUAUACAUAUAGAAGAAUACAAUCAUCAUACAGCCAAAAUCAGUGCAUUACAAGUAAUAAGUUAUAAAAGGCACAAUUACCUCUUUAGUUGCAGAUGAGUAGUUUCUCAAAGUGGAUACCACAGGGCGAAGUCUCUGGAUUAGAAACGCGUUCACAAGGAACAAUAGUCAGCAGUAAAAAAAAAAAAGGGCCAAAAUGAAUACUAUUUAGGCAUACUGAAAUAGAACCUCCUCCUGCAGCCACUUUCUACCUAAUAAACAUUAGCAAACAGAUAAAAGCGAGUCGCUAACAAAGAGCAAUCAAAAUCCACUGUCACGAAUAGCAACAUGAAAGUGCAUAGUUUCAAAGCUUCGGAGUUUGUUCAAAUUAUAAUAUUUUUAAUUCACAUACUAUUAUACUAAUAAAAGCUCGAACAUAUUUGUUGUCCCUACAGUCAAAUAUUUAAUUUCAUAUUCUUCUUAAACUGCAUCAAAAUCCAUACAUUGUAAGUAUAAUGAAGAACAUAACUAUUAGUAUUAGAAUUUCUUAAGCAUUCAGCUGAUUCACUAAUAAUAAUAAUAAAAGCCUAUACAUAUAGAAGAAUACAAUCAUCAUACAG
This 994-nucleotide long non-coding RNA is filed under the name Citrus maxima (pomelo). RNAcentral's name for it is "long non-coding RNA (CMAX_LNC001934)". Lineage: Eukaryota; Viridiplantae; Streptophyta; Magnoliopsida; Sapindales; Rutaceae. The record is from RNAcentral.